CUUAGAACAAUGAAGAAACCCUGUCUCAAACAGGUGGAAGUGAAGACCUACCUACCCAGGAGGUUAUACUCUGAUCUCCACGUGAGCACCUCCAUUCACAUAAAUGCACACAAGCUUUGGAGACGGAGUUGUUUGCAGAGUGACCUCAGAUCUGCUCAGGAUUAGGAACUAGGAAGCAAACGGGUCAUGAGAACGACUUUUAAAUAUUCUUCUGUGCUUUCCUGCUGCUGCCUGACAGAGGCUCUGAGUUCUGACUACAACAGAGAAGGCGAAGGCGGGAGCUGCCUGGAGCAAGGCCUGUGUUGAAUCCCAACCUCCUUUCUGCCUGAUUUUGUGUGGCUUUCCAAACCUGAAUUUCCAUUUCCUUAUCUGUAACUUACUUUACUGAAAAGAUUGACCGAGACCUUUGACGCUCCUAAAUUAGGGAAUGACAGGAGUCGGCACUCAAAACUGUGAGCCCUCCUUCCUGCCCCUUCCCCUGGACGAUGACGAAGAAAACACCUCCGAGUCGUGAUGACUGUAUCUUUACUGCUCCUUUGACAGAGAUGCAGUCAUUGAUUGUGCUGGUUUCAAAGCCAGGCAGCAAUUUGCAGUAAGGCCGGGUUACCAUCAUCCGUUAAUUCAAAUGUCCUUACCGAAACUUCAACACAUAUCAACCUAACUUCCAAAUAGCAGCUUUAGACUUAACUGUCUGCCAUUCAUUUGACAGGUAGUUUUGGAAAAUCUAUCAGGCAGAAGACAUUUGGUAUUUUCAAUUAAAAGUUGUAUCACAGUUGUCUAUCGCUGCGAAGAGAUUCCAGGACCACAGCAACUCUUACAAACAAAGGGAUGGCUUACAGUUUCAGAGGUUCAGUCCAUUACCAUCAUGGUGGGAAGCAUGUUGGCACGCAGGCAGACAUGAUGCUGGAGAAGGUGCUGAGAGUUCUACAUCUGGAUCCACAGGCAGCAGGAAAUGAUAGUGAUACUGGGCCUGGCUUGGACUUUUGAGACCUGAAAGCCCACCUCCUGUAACACACUUCCUCCAACAAGGCCACACUUCCUAAUCCUUCUCAAGUAGUGCCACUCCCUGAUGACUAAUCAUUCAAAUCUAUGGGGGUCUUUGGGGGCCAUUUUUAUUCAAGCUACCACAACAAUUAUCCUUUUAUUUGCACCUGUUUAUGUGUGUGGGCUAUGGUGUGUGUUUAGAGAUCUAAGAACAACUUUUGGGAAUUGGUACUCUUCUUCUACCAUGUGGAUCCCAGGGAUAGAACUCAGAUGGGGGAGCAAGUGCCUUCACCUGCCGAGCUGUCUCACACACCACAUUUGUCAUUCUUUUUUUUUUUUUUUUUCAAGACAGGGUUUCUCUGUGUAGCUUUGGAGCCUGUCCUGGAUCUCACUCUGCAGACCAGGCUGGCCUCGAACUCAGAAAUCCUCCUGGCUCUGCCUCCCGAGUGCUGGGAUUAAAGGCGUGAGCCGCCACCAUUUGCCAUUCUUUUAUAGAACUUUAUGAAAACAUUUUAGCCAGAGAGCCUCGUUGACGAGCAGUCAUCAGGAAAAUAAAGGCCACCUUUAUGGUAA
This is a long non-coding RNA of Peromyscus californicus insignis, 1557 nucleotides long. RefSeq lists it as uncharacterized. The record is from RefSeq and is a predicted model, not a curated record. The transcript is spliced from 2 exons. Lineage: Eukaryota; Metazoa; Chordata; Mammalia; Rodentia; Cricetidae.